AUGUCCAAUGGCCAUUGGAAUUUUAUCUAUCCUUCUAUUUUUCAAGAUAAUUCAGAUUUGUUGGCGAAAAAGCGAAGAAAUAGGUUCGUCAUUCCAUUACAAUAUCAUCAAGAACAAGAGAAAGAACUAAUAUCCUGUUUUGGAAUUUCGAUUGAAAUCCCCCUUAUGGGUGUUUUACGUAGAAAUACUAUAUUUGCUUAUUUUGACGAUCCCCGAUACAGAAAAGAUAAAAAGGGUUCAGGAAUUGUUAAAUUUAGAUAUAGGACCCUAGAAGAAGAAUAUAGGACUCGAGCGGAAGACUCAGAAGAGGAAUAUGAGACCCUAGAAGAUGAAUACAGGACCCGAGAGGACGAAUAUGAAUAUGAAACCCUAGAAGAAUCUAAAUAUCGAAUCCUAGAAGACGAAUACGAAUAUGAAACCCUAGAAGACGAAUAUGGGAGCCCAGAAAACGAAUAUGGGAACCCAGAGAACGAAUAUAGGACUUUAGAGAAAGUCUCGGAAGAGGAAUAUGGGAGCCCAGAGAGCAAAUAUAGGACCCAAGAGGACGAAUAUGGUACUCUAGAGGAAGACUCAGAAGACGAAUAUGGCAGCCCCGGGGAAAGCGCAGAGGAAAAAUAUGGUACUUUAGAGGAAGACUCAGAAGAAGAUUCAGAGGACGAAUACGAGAGCCCAGAGGAAGAUUCCAUCUUAAAAAAAGAGGGUUUGAUUGAGCAUCGAGGAACAAAAGAAUUUAGUCUAAAAUACCAAAAAGAAGUAGAUCGGUUUUUUUUCAUUCUUCAAGAACUUCAUAUCUUGCCGAGAUCUUCAUCCCUAAACAUACUUGACAAUAGUAUUAUUGGAGUGGAUACACAACUCACAAAAAAUACAAGAAGUCGACUAGGCGGACUGGUCCGAGUGAAGAGAAAAAAAAAGCCAUACGGAACUCAAAAUAUUUUCCGGAGAUAUUCAUUUUCCUGA
This 957-nucleotide ribosomal RNA is filed under the name Triticum aestivum (bread wheat). RNAcentral describes it as "partial small subunit ribosomal RNA". Lineage: Eukaryota; Viridiplantae; Streptophyta; Magnoliopsida; Poales; Poaceae. The record is from RNAcentral.